CUUAAAAUAUAAAAUAUUUCAUAAAAUAGCUUCCCAAUAAAAAUUCGUAAAUUAUCUUCUUGCUAUGUCUUUAAUACCCUUUUCAUUUCUUGUGCUAUAAAUCAAAGUUUAUUUUACCCCAAGAAAAUCUCAGUGACUCGACAUAAAAGAUUACAUUUAAAUUUUUAUUUUUGUGCAACUGAAACUGGCGCUUAUCUAGACUCCAGCUUGAGCUCAACGCAAACUCAGCCACGAUUAAGCAUCGUCGGUUACCUGCACCCAAAACUGAUGCUGUGGGGCGUUUUGUUGAAAAAGAGAACCAAAUCAAUUACACGUGUUGUUAGAUGGCUCUUAUCCUGCUGCCAGUUAUCAUUGGACUUGCCUGCGGCGGAGUUGGAGCUGCCACCCAUCAAUUAUGGGGAAAUCAAGACGUGGUAAAAACAACUACAGCCACGCAACGCAGCUGAUAUUCUUGAGUGAAACAGAUCACGUAACGGUCCAAGGGAUUUAUAGCUGCAGGCAAGGAUAUAUAUUUUUAAAUUCCGCUUAUGAAUUUAUUACACGCAGCAGCUCUUACCGGCUUGCCAGACAGCAACAGCAGAAAACGUUGACUGAGGUUUGGCUGCGUGAGUGAAAUGAUGCAUGCAACUUGCUUGGGAAAAGCCAAACACGAUGCCGUCUGUCAUGCCACAUGCCACAUAGCAUCGGCAGCCUCACUCCUUUUGUCAUCGGCAAGUGAUAUGCGCACAUGACACAACGACAACGUUGCAUGGAAUACGCAAUUUGCAUAUCUGGCCACAUUUGCAUGGAAUACCGCACCCAGCAGCAGCGAGCAGGGAACAGUAGGAGCUGCUGGAUUUAGCGCAGCUGAAGCUAACGAAAAUGUGCUAAAAACUUUGCCUUGAUUGACGGCAGCAGUCACAGCACAGCGCAGCACUGAGAAUCGAAGUUCUGCACUGAAAGUUACCCAGCAAAAAUACGUUGGGGAAACAAAUGCGUUUAUAAUGAUUUGAAAAUUUUCUUAUAGAAAAUAAAGUUUCAACGAAGUCCUAAGUGCGAUUUUCAACUCUGAAGCAAAUACAC
Molecule: long non-coding RNA, 1062 nt
Organism: Drosophila sulfurigaster albostrigata
Lineage: Eukaryota; Metazoa; Arthropoda; Insecta; Diptera; Drosophilidae
Exons: 3
Source: RefSeq, a predicted model, not a curated record